Molecule: ribosomal RNA, 253 nt
Filed under: uncultured bacterium
Lineage: Bacteria
Description: partial 16S ribosomal RNA
Rfam family: Bacterial small subunit ribosomal RNA
Source: RNAcentral
UACAGAGGUCCCAAGCGUUGUUCGGAUUCAUUGGGCGUAAAGGGUGCGUAGGCGGCGGGGCCAGUCUGAUGUGAAAUCCCGGGGCUCAACCCCGGAACUGCAUUGGAUACUGCCUUGCUAGAGUACUGGAGAGGGAACUGGAAUUUACGGUGUAGCAGUGAAAUGCGUAGAGAUCGUAAGGAAGGCCAGUGGCGAAGGCGAGUUCCUGGACAGUGACUGACGCUGAGGCACGAAGGCCAGGGGAGCAAACGGG